GUAGGUGGCAAGCGUUGUCCGGAAUUAUUGGGCGUAAAGCGCGCGCAGGCGGUUCUUUAAGUCUGAUGUGAAAGCCCACGGCACAACCGUGGAGGGUCAUUGGAAACUGGAGAACUUGAGUACAGAAGAGGAAAGCGGAAUUCCACGUGUAGCGGUGAAAUGCGUAGAGAUGUGGAGGAACACCAGUGGCGAAGGCGGCUUUCUGGUCUGUAACUGACGCUGAGGCGCGAAAGCGUGGGGAGCAAACAGGAUUAGAUACCCUGGUAGUCCACGCCGUAAACGAUGAGUGCUAAGUGUUAGGGGGUUUCCGCCCCCCUUAGUGCUGCAGCUAACGCAUUAAGCACUCCGCCUGGGAGUACGGCCGCAAGGCUG
Molecule: ribosomal RNA, 372 nt
Filed under: uncultured organism
Description: partial 16S ribosomal RNA
Rfam family: Bacterial small subunit ribosomal RNA
Source: RNAcentral